UCAAGACUCGCUUGCACCCUAAA
RNAcentral lists this unclassified non-coding RNA (23 nucleotides) under Mus musculus (house mouse). RNAcentral describes it as "oocyte_clustered_small_RNA10253". The record is from RNAcentral. Lineage: Eukaryota; Metazoa; Chordata; Mammalia; Rodentia; Muridae.